Non-coding RNA from Nothobranchius furzeri (turquoise killifish), 433 nucleotides. Lineage: Eukaryota; Metazoa; Chordata; Actinopteri; Cyprinodontiformes; Nothobranchiidae. The record is from RefSeq and is a predicted model, not a curated record.
AAGUCAGCGAUUUCCUUGUAGGAAACUUCUACAUGUGCCUUGUAGGAAGCACUUUAAGCACUUGAGAGACGCCUUCACUUCGCUGGAUGAUUAACUCAAUUUUGACAUCGCUCCACUUCCACCUCAGACAGAAGGCAACCUGGAACUCCUCGUCACCCCACUCGUCUCUCGGUACGUCCCUGGUCUCCCCACUCCCGAUAGCGCACCUAAACCCACCCGGAUCUACACCAACCUCCAUGCUCAGCUCCCUCCACCUAAAGCGCUCAGGAACCCUGCCACAAGUAAGCUCCUAGUCCUCAGACCGGACCCACUCCCCUCUCGAGUCAUCCACACUUCAAGACCAUCCCCCCACCGAAAUCCUGUCUGAAGAACUCAGCUUGACUUCCUCACUGCUCUUUUAGUUUCCCUUUUAAUAAAUUUUUUUUUGAAACUC